AGCCGAAACAGCGGGAUAACCCGCUGUCUGCCGGGGAUGGCCGCCCGGCACUGACGAGGCAGGCUGAA
This 68-nucleotide non-coding RNA is filed under the name Lachnospiraceae bacterium. Lineage: Bacteria; Bacillati; Bacillota; Clostridia; Lachnospirales; Lachnospiraceae. The record is from RNAcentral.